UGUAUCGCUGAUGAUAACUUGGCUCCCUCUACUGAACACUGUGAGGAGACUGCCAUUGUUACCCAAUUUUUGUCUGAGAUACA
Molecule: small nucleolar RNA, 83 nt
Organism: Kryptolebias marmoratus (mangrove rivulus)
Lineage: Eukaryota; Metazoa; Chordata; Actinopteri; Cyprinodontiformes; Rivulidae
Product: small nucleolar RNA SNORD100
Source: Ensembl